RNAcentral lists this long non-coding RNA (252 nucleotides) under Phascolarctos cinereus (koala). RNAcentral describes it as "lncRNA (ENSPCIG00000003588.2)". The record is from RNAcentral. Lineage: Eukaryota; Metazoa; Chordata; Mammalia; Diprotodontia; Phascolarctidae.
CAGAGGAACAGGACACUAUGACCACAGCUCCAGUGAAGAGGACUCUUCCCCCAGAUUCUUCCCCAAAGACCUUCAUGACUUCUCCCUUUCGACGUCCAGACAACAACGUUGUGGGCUCUGUAUGAUGGAAGUAUUUCUGAUCUGGCUUUCACACAGUCGUUGAGGUUGCCUCCAUCUCACUCACUUCCCUCAGGAUAUGCAGAUGGUCUCUGGGCUUGAUGAAAUUUGGUUAGAAGGAAAAGGGAAAAGCCU